This 254-nucleotide ribosomal RNA is filed under the name uncultured bacterium. RNAcentral's name for it is "partial 16S ribosomal RNA". It matches the Rfam family "Bacterial small subunit ribosomal RNA", at positions 524 to 776 of the family's 1533-position model. The record is from RNAcentral.
UACGGGGAAUGCAAGCGUUAUCCGGAUUUAUUGGGUUUAAAGGGUGCGUAGGCUGUGAGGUAAGUCAGCGGUGAAAUGCCCCCGCUCAACGGGGUGAAGUGCCAUUGAUACUGCCUUGCUGGAAUGCGGAUGCCGUGGGAGGAAUGUGUGGUGUAGCGGUGAAAUGCAUAGAUAUCACACAGAACACCGAUUGCGAAGGCAUCUCACGAAUCCGCGAUUGACGCUGAUGCACGAAAGCGUGGGUAUCAAACAGG